RNAcentral lists this ribosomal RNA (398 nucleotides) under uncultured bacterium. Its description in RNAcentral is "partial 16S ribosomal RNA". It matches the Rfam family "Bacterial small subunit ribosomal RNA", at positions 523 to 918 of the family's 1533-position model. The record is from RNAcentral.
AUACGUAGGGUGCGAGCGUUGUCCGGAAUUACUGGGCGUAAAGAGCUCGUAGGUGGUUUGUCGCGUCGUCUGUGAAAUUCCGGGGCUUAACUCCGGGCGUGCAGGCGAUACGGGCAUAACUUGAGUACUGUAGGGGAGACUGGAAUUCCUGGUGUAGCGGUGAAAUGCGCAGAUAUCAGGAGGAACACCGGUGGCGAAGGCGGGUCUCUGGGCAGUAACUGACGCUGAGGAGCGAAAGCAUGGGUAGCGAACAGAAUUAGAUACCCUGGUAGUCCAUGCCGUAAACGGUGGGCGCUAGGUGUAGGGGUCUUCCACGACUUCUGUGCCGUAGCUAACGCAUUAAGCGCCCCGCCUGGGGAGUACGGCCGCAAGGUUAAAACUCAAAGGAAUUGACGGGG